CCGAGCCAGGCGGGCAGCCCAUCGAACGCUCACUCUUUCCUUUCCAGGAACAGAGCCUCGUGUGGGCUGCUGGGUCUGGACUGGGGAUGCUUCUGCUGGAAAGAGGGCCAGGGAGGAGGGCCAGACACGGACCUGACAGGUCAACACGCGCACGUCCAGGACAAAGGGGGUUUUGGAACAAGUAACAUCCGGCGAACAGGUGUUCCCAAGGAAGGUGCCUGGAAUCACCCCCUCCCUCAGUGAGCCACGGCUGCCACGUGGGGCCGUCCAGAGAGGUCAGGGCGCCGCUGAGCACUAUUCACAGUCCCCCAGCAACGCCCACCAGCAGAGGCCGUGUUGUCAGGAUCCCGGUCAGCCGAACGCAGGACCCACAGCCCCCAAGCCACAGGCCCGGCCACAGCCUCUCGAUAACUUGCUCCCCGAGGUCGACCUGCAACCACUGAAUUCAGUUUUACCCAAGUCCCCAGAGGCACGUAUGCGGCCUCCUCGUCGUCCACGUUGCCAGCCCCAGGCCCGUCACAGGCCCCGGAAGCGACGCGGAGCGGUGGCAACGGGGCACGUGGAGAGGGAAACGAGCCGACGAGCCAGGGAAGAGACGAACGGCCAUCUGAAGGGACAGGAGAGGGGACAGGAGAGGGACCACGAGACGGCGGAACGGGACACAGCUGACACUG
RNAcentral lists this long non-coding RNA (674 nucleotides) under Felis catus (domestic cat). RNAcentral's name for it is "lncRNA (ENSFCAG00000046663.2)". Lineage: Eukaryota; Metazoa; Chordata; Mammalia; Carnivora; Felidae. The record is from RNAcentral.